AGAGAUGUAGCUCAGUGGUUAGAGCGCCUGCUUUGCACACAGAAACUCCCAGGCUCAAUUCUUGGUGGCAUCUUCA
Molecule: non-coding RNA, 76 nt
Organism: Podarcis lilfordi (Lilford's wall lizard)
Lineage: Eukaryota; Metazoa; Chordata; Lepidosauria; Squamata; Lacertidae
Source: the annotation of a GenBank genome assembly